GACGAACGCUGGCGGCGUGCCUAAUACAUGCAAGUCGAACGAGAGCGACCGGUGCUUGCACUGGUCAAUCUAGUGGCGAACGGGUGAGUAACACGUGGGUAACCUGCCCAUCAGAGGGGGAUAACAUCCGGAAACGGAUGCUAAAACCGCAUAGGUCUUCGAACCGCAUGGUUUGAAGAGGAAAAGAGGCGCAAGCUUCUGCUGAUGGAUGGACCCGCGGUGCAUUAGCUAGUUGGUGAGGUAACGGCUCACCAAGGCCGUGAUGCAUAGCCGACCUGAGAGGGUGAUCGGCCACAUUGGGACUGAGACACGGCCCAAACUCCUACGGGAGGCAGCAGUAGGGAAUCUUCCGCAAUGGACGCAAGUCUGACGGAGCAACGCCGCGUGAGUGAAGAAGGUUUUCGGAUCGUAAAACUCUGUUGUUAGAGAAGAACAAGUGCUAGAGUAACUGUUAGCGCCUUGACGGUAUCUAACCAGAAGGCCACGGCUAACUACGUG
RNAcentral lists this ribosomal RNA (498 nucleotides) under uncultured bacterium. RNAcentral describes it as "partial 16S ribosomal RNA". It matches the Rfam family "Bacterial small subunit ribosomal RNA", at positions 28 to 507 of the family's 1533-position model. The record is from RNAcentral.